RNAcentral lists this long non-coding RNA (1853 nucleotides) under Homo sapiens (human). RNAcentral describes it as "non-protein coding LINC00941:26". The record is from RNAcentral. Lineage: Eukaryota; Metazoa; Chordata; Mammalia; Primates; Hominidae.
AGUACAGGAGCUGCAAGAGAGGCGCGCCGGGGCCAGCAAGCUCUAGAACAGCAGGAGCGGCCCCAGUUGGGACCCCGGGACGACGAGUGGCCGGCAACGCGGCGCCCGCAUGGCCCAAGCAGUGUCCGGGAGGGGUCGGGGCCCCGGACUAGGGGCGCAGCGAGGACCGCCCGGAGGCUUUCCCUUGGGCAGCUAAGUCCGAGUCAGCUCUACUCGGAUUUCCAGCUUCCAGCCCCGGCUCUGGUGGGGACCAUGCCUAGGAGAGUAAUCUGAGCUGGGGACUGGGCUCUCCUCCCGCCCCUCCCGGCCCGUGCGCCCCAGGCAUGCGCUCCUCCCGCUGCUCCCUUGGCCCCCAGCGCACAGCUCCAAACCCGCGGGGCGAGCCGUCACCUUACUCUCUAGCCUUAGCCGGCCCCCAAAUUUAAUUUCUGCCCUGGCCGUCAAGCCAUAAAAGUCGAUUAUAAUCGCCGCCCCCCCCCGACCACCCCAACCCCCUGCCUUUGCUCUCGCCCCCGUUUCAGACUUCUCUUCUCUUCUUGAAGUCAAGCCCUCAAGUCGGGACUCUAGGAAGUCCGUUUUCUUCGUCCUAACCCCUUUGUAUCCUCUCCCAUCCCCACCCCUUUCACUCUGCCCUCUGGCUCUGAUUUCUCGGCCUUUCCGUUUUUUCUCUCCAGGUAGAGACAGCUCCGGGCCGGGGGUGGAGGAUGGUGCGGUGGGGAGGAGGCAAGGAAAUUCCCAGCCUUCCUGCGCGAACCUGGGAGACCAGCAGGCACCUGGUCUCGUCCCGCUGGGUCCCCUCCGCACCCAAGACUGUCUUCCCAAGUGGCUUACUCCACAGAAGGAAUGUCGUCAGCUGAUUAUAUCUGAUUAGCAUCCAGUUCCGACGACUCAUCCCUUAAAACCGCCCUCGAGAAGUGUCUAAAGGAGACAGUUGAUAGCCAAACAACAGUUUUGGAUUCACUGACUGAUUAUGAAAGAAGCAGUAGACUGGUAUCAAGAAUCAGUCAGCAAGGAGGCCCUCACCAGACGCCAGUGCCAUGUUCUUGGACUUCUCAGCCUCCAUAUUCAUGAACUAAGUUUUUGGAAUCCUUAGGCUUCCACGUGUGGAAAGCCUGAGCUAACCUACUGGAGGAUGAGCCAUCACCUGGAGCAGAUUCAGGCCAUCCUAGUUGAAGCCUCCCUAGGCCAAGCAACCGUCCAACUACCAGACAUUGACCAUUCAGCCUUGAACAUUCAGCACAAAGACAAAACAGACCAGACCAGAAGAGUCCCACAGAAUAGGGGAAACUAUUCAGAGAAAACUUAAGCCACUAAGUUUUAUGGUGUUUUGUUCUGUAGCAGAAGCAUAGGCAUACUGACAAUACAAACCGAAAUCCUUCUAACGUAGUGGACCUUUUCAGGCCAGCAUUUUUUCCUUGAAAACCUGGAGCAUGUAUCCAUCUUAUAGCAGAGAUCACUUUCACAAUGUUUGGGCUCUUGAUUUGAAUUGAUGAUGUAAUGAGCCCUCUAUCCAGAUUGUAACUAAUUACUCUGCGAAUUGACUGGAUUCCACACCCUUCUAAUAUUUUACUUUUCCUCUUUUAUCAACUCUCAUUCUUGCUGCCAUGAUCAAUGGACCAACUAUGCUUAUAACCACAAAUUUUGAUAUGCUUAAACAAAUGAACAAAUAUAUUUAAUAAUUUCUUUUUUUUUUUUGAAAUAGUAUCUUGCUCUGUCACCCAGGCUGCAGUGCAGCAGCGUGAUCUCAGCUCACUAUAACCUCCACCUCCCGGGUUCAAGUGAUUCUCCUGCCUCAGCCUCCCAAGUAGCUGGGACUACAGGCGCCCACCACCAUACCUGGCUAAUUUUUUGUA